This is a long non-coding RNA of Passer domesticus (house sparrow), 229 nucleotides long. RefSeq lists it as uncharacterized. The record is from RefSeq and is a predicted model, not a curated record. The transcript has 3 exons. Lineage: Eukaryota; Metazoa; Chordata; Aves; Passeriformes; Passeridae.
CACAGCUAGAGGUUCACAGGAUGUUAGUAAAGGGAUGUGUGCGUGGGAUUCUUUUGAAAGGCAAAUGGCCUAGCCAGGAGAAAGCAGACUUCAGAUUAAUGGAGGGAGUGAGAUUUGGAGGAAGACUAGAAACUACACACAUAAACCUCGGUGAAGUUCUCCAAGAGAUGUGAGAAGUUGUGGCCAAGCACCAGCAGAACCCACCACCCAGCACCCAUCCUCUCAGCUG